AGCAGCAGCCGCGGUAAUACGAGGGGGGCAAGCGUUGUUCGGAAUUAUUGGGCGUAAAGGGCGCGUAGGCGGUUUGACAAGUCUUGUGUGAAAUCUCUGGGCUCAACCCAGAGUCUGCACGGGAAACUGUCGGGCUAGAGGAUGGGAGAGGUGAGUGGAAUUUCCGGUGUAGCGGUGAAAUGCGUAGAUAUCGGAAGGAACACCUGUGGCGAAAGCGGCUCACUGGACCAUUACUGACGCUGAGGCGCGAAAGCUAGGGGAGCAAACAGGAUUAGAGACCCGAGUAGUCCCUGUCUCUUAUAC
Molecule: ribosomal RNA, 303 nt
Filed under: uncultured bacterium
Lineage: Bacteria
Description: partial 16S ribosomal RNA
Rfam family: Bacterial small subunit ribosomal RNA
Source: RNAcentral